Long non-coding RNA from Daphnia pulex (common water flea), 402 nucleotides. RefSeq lists it as uncharacterized. The record is from RefSeq and is a predicted model, not a curated record. NCBI's taxonomy places the organism in Eukaryota, Metazoa, Arthropoda, Branchiopoda, Diplostraca, Daphniidae. The transcript is spliced from 3 exons.
AGAGAACCUUGGAUAACUGAUUGGUAUUUUAGUGUGUUUCUAAUUUUGCAUGACAGACUUUAUGAGAAGUCAAUGUCCUUUGAAGAAAAAGGACAAUAUUACAGUCAACAAGCUCCUUUGAUUGGUAACCCGUUGGCUGCUAUCCUUGAAUAUCCCUUUUUACUUCCUUAAACAGGCCCUCUUGAUUUGAGGGUAACUCCUUCGCUACUUAUCAUGGACUUCAUCCAUUGGUAAAAACUGAUAAGAAAAAGCUGAAAUUCAAGACUGAUGGUUGUCAGAUGUCUAAGCCGGAAGUCUACUAGGGAACGCUCUCGUAAUAACUGUUCUCUCCGUCUUUAUUGACUGUAUGUGCGAGUUUCAAAAGCAGUUUAUCACCCAAAUGAGACAAGGAGUUUGUUUUAU